RNAcentral lists this long non-coding RNA (206 nucleotides) under Elaeis guineensis (African oil palm). RNAcentral describes it as "long non-coding RNA (EGUI_LNC028746)". Lineage: Eukaryota; Viridiplantae; Streptophyta; Magnoliopsida; Arecales; Arecaceae. The record is from RNAcentral.
CAUGCUAUCUAAUCUUCAGGCUUUUGUCAGAGGUCGAUGCGGUUGUUCAGUCCGACCUGAUAACUUUGUAGAAGGUCAGUGGAGCCAUACGGUUAGGUUGGAAUCUUUUGAUUGCUUUUGGUGCAGAGUUGGUGCUAAUUUUGUAGAAAAGCAUCUUUUUGGUACAACGUCGAUGCUGGCUUUGCAAGAAUUGCAAGAAUUGCCAG